UGGGGAAUAUUGCACAAUGGGCGCAAGCCUGAUGCAGCCAUGCCGCGUGUGUGAAGAAGGCCUUCGGGUUGUAAAGCACUUUCAGCGAGGAGGAAGGUGGUGAACUUAAUACGUUCAUCAAUUGACGUUACUCGCAGAAGAAGCACCGGCUAACUCCGUGCCAGCAGCCGCGGUAAUACGGAGGGUGCAAGCGUUAAUCGGAAUUACUGGGCGUAAAGCGCACGCAGGCGGUUUGUUAAGUCAGAUGUGAAAUCCCCGGGCUCAACCUGGGAACUGCAUUUGAAACUGGCAAGCUAGAGUCUCGUAGAGGGGGGUAGAAUUCCAGGUGUAGCGGUGAAAUGCGUAGAGAUCUGGAGGAAUACCGGUGGCGAAGGCGGCCCCCUGGACGAAGACUGACGCUCAGGUGCGAAAAGCGUGGGGAGCAAAACAGGAUUAGAUACCCUGGUAGUCCACGCUGUAAAACGAUGUCGAUUUUGGAGGUUGUGCCCUUGAGGCGUGGCUUCCGGAGCUAACGCGUUAAAUCGACCGCCUGGGGAGUAC
Molecule: ribosomal RNA, 540 nt
Filed under: uncultured bacterium
Lineage: Bacteria
Description: partial 16S ribosomal RNA
Rfam family: Bacterial small subunit ribosomal RNA
Source: RNAcentral